UGCAGUCGAACGGCAGCGCGGGGCAACCUGGCGGCGAGUGGCGAACGGGUGAGUAAUAUAUCGGAACGUACCCAAGAGUGGGGGAUAACGUAGCGAAAGUUACGCUAAUACCGCAUACGAUCUAAGGAUGAAAGCAGGGGAUCUUCGGACCUUGUGCUCCUGGAGCGGCCGAUAUCUGAUUAGCUAGUUGGUGAGGUAAAGGCUCACCAAGGCCACGAUCAGUAGCUGGUCUGAGAGGACGACCAGCCACACUGGAACUGAGACACGGUCCAGACUCCUACGGGAGGCAGCAGUGGGGAAUUUUGGACAAUGGGCGAAAGCCUGAUCCAGCAAUGCCGCGUGAGUGAAGAAGGCCUUCGGGUUGUAAAGCUCUUUUGUCAGGGAAGAAACGGUUUGGGCUAAUAUCCUGAGCUAAUGACGGUACCUGAAGAAUAAGCACCGGCUAACUACGUGCCAGCAGCCGCGGUAAUACGUAGGGUGCAAGCGUUAAUC
Molecule: ribosomal RNA, 492 nt
Filed under: Massilia sp.
Lineage: Bacteria; Pseudomonadati; Pseudomonadota; Betaproteobacteria; Burkholderiales; Oxalobacteraceae
Description: bacterial SSU rRNA
Rfam family: Bacterial small subunit ribosomal RNA
Source: RNAcentral